AACAAGGAUUUUCUCAAAUCCACCAAGGUUUGUGUUUGAGCAUAAU
Arabidopsis thaliana (thale cress) is the source of this 46-nucleotide non-coding RNA. The record is from Rfam. NCBI's taxonomy places the organism in Eukaryota, Viridiplantae, Streptophyta, Magnoliopsida, Brassicales, Brassicaceae.